Fukomys damarensis (Damara mole-rat) is the source of this 348-nucleotide long non-coding RNA. RefSeq lists it as uncharacterized. NCBI's taxonomy places the organism in Eukaryota, Metazoa, Chordata, Mammalia, Rodentia, Bathyergidae. The record is from RefSeq and is a predicted model, not a curated record. The transcript is spliced from 3 exons.
UAUGAUGUCACCCUUCUAGAAGCCACAGAAAUGGAAAAAUAAUUUAUUCAAAACUAGGUCUGAGGAGAUGGAAGGGCCCAUUGGUCUCAAGUCAUCACCUCUUCAGGUACAGAGAUGGAAGGAGUGGAGAUUUGAAGUUCCCCUAGGAGCACAAGAGAGCUCCCAGUAGAUAAAAGAAGCUAUUCUACUGGGCACUGUGAAUUUGGCCACCAAUCAAAGUUCAGAUUGUCCCUAAGCAUUACUCACUUCUACAAUCAUAAAUUUCAGAUCAUCAUAGAUGUUUCACAUGUCAACAACUAAAAUUACAUUUGACUCAAAAUUUUCCAUCAAUGUGACAAGUAUGUUAUA